GCCCGGUUAGCUCAGUGGUUUGAGCGUGAUGCUGACAACAAUGACCGACACCAAGAUUGCGGGUUCGAUUCCCGCUCGGUCC
Non-coding RNA from Apaloderma vittatum (bar-tailed trogon), 82 nucleotides. NCBI's taxonomy places the organism in Eukaryota, Metazoa, Chordata, Aves, Trogoniformes, Trogonidae. The record is from Rfam.